CCACACACACACACACAACCAGACCACAACAAACACCACACACACACAACCAGACCACAACAAACACCACACACACACAACCAGACCACAACAAACAAGGGACUGAGAACAAGCACCAACCACCUGUAUGCACCAGAGGAGUCAAGUUGACUCCAUCAAGCGAACAACAACAUCUGCCGCUACAUUUAGCCAUGGAGAAGUUCUAUAUAUGUUCUCCUUCGUUUCCUUUCAGCCUUUAGCAUUCCGUUUGAUGUUUUUAUUAAAAUUUUUAACCCAAAUUUAAAAAUAAUAUUGAUAUAAUUGCUAUUAUUUUCGGGUUAUUUCGUCAAUUAAGAUAUCAGUAAAUGGCUGCCAGAAUUAACUUAUCUUAGAUAUAUACUAAGGGAAACUAAUUCGCUAGAGAUUUGACAACUGCACAACUGACACACCAGCUGUAGGAAGUAUGAUUGGGACAACUAAUUUGGUUUAAUACAGUAACUCGCACUACUAAAGGAACCCAACUCACACAUCUCUCACCCAACCCAUCCAUCUGUAAAUGAAUGAGGUGGAGACGUUUGGGUUCGUUCUGGACUCUUACGAAAUGGUGGGAACAGUCAAUAUGUAAGGCAAGAAUGUGAGGUGAAAGGGAAGAGGAAGGAACUGUACUGUAGACGUUAACAGGAAUAAAGCUACAAAAAGCCGUAAUUAAGAGAAAAAGGCGAAUGACGUUGUGUUAAAGUUUCUACAAGGUUGUGAGCACGUUGUAAUAACGUUUCUACAAGGUUUUGAGCACGUUGUGAGAACGUUGCUACAAUGUUGUGAGCACGUUGGUAAAAUGUUGCCACAAGGUUGUAAGCACGUUGGUAAAGCGUUGCGACAAGGUAGUGCUAACGUUGCUACAAGGUUUUGAGCACAUUAUGAUAACGUUGCUACAAGGUUGUGAGCACGUUGUGAUAACGUUGCUACAAGGUUGUGAGCACGUUGUGAGAACGUUGCUACUAGGUUGUGAGCACGUUGUGAUAACGUUGCUACAAGGUUGUGAGCACGUUGUGAGAACGUUGCUACUAGGUUGUGAGCACGUUGUGAUAACGUUGCUACAAGGUUGUGAGAACGUUGCUACUAGGUUGUGAGCACGUUGUGAGAACGUUGCUACUAGGUUGUGAGAACGUUGCUACUAGGUUGUGAGCACGUUGUGAGAACGUUGCUACUAGGUUGUGAGCACGUUGUGAGAACUUUGCUACUAGGUUGUGAGCACGUUUUUAUAACUUUGCUAUAACGUUGUGAGCAUGUUGUGAUAACGUAGCAACAACGGUGUGAGCACAUUAUCAAAACAAGCCAACAACGUUGCAGCAACAUUAUCACUACGUAUUCACAACCUUAUACCAACGUUAUCCCAAUGUGUAACAACGUUUUCACAACGGGGCCACCAAGUUGUUGCAACGUUUGGCCAGCAUGAUCACAGUGUUGUACAAAUAUUGUGCUAACGUUGUUAUAAGUCUGUGGGUGCGUUACCACAUUCCCACAGCGUUGUUGAAACAUUAUCAAAAGGUUAUCUUCUUGAGAUGAGGUUAUCUUGAGAUGAUUUCGGGGCUUACUUUCCCCGCGGCCCGGUCAUCGACCAGGCCUCCACCCCCCAGGAAGCAGCCCGUAGCAGCUGCCUAACUCCCAGGUACCUAUUUACUGCUAGGUAACAGGGGCAUGAGGGUGAAAGAAACAUUUUGCCAAGUUUUUUACAAAGGUACCCACAACUUUGUAGCAACUGUUGCUAAAACGUACCCACAACUGUUGCUACAACGUACCCACAACUGUUGCUACAACGUACCCACAACUGUUGCUACAACGUACCCACAACUGUUGCUACAACGUACCCACAACUGUUGCUACAACGUACCCACAACUGUUGCUACAACGUACCCACAACUGUUGCUACAACAUUGCGGACACGUUGUGAGAAUGUUACAAUAUUGUGGACUUACAAGGGGACCAGUCACAAUAUGGACACAAAAAGCACUGUGCAUUUUACUAUAUCCUUCCUUUCCAAAAAUACCAGCAUAGAUCCACUGGGCAAAGAUUCAUCAACCACUUACGAAACCAGUACAUCUUUCCUCAUUCACGGCACCUUUAUUUGCAUUUAUUAAGCAGUUCAUGACCCUCAGAACCUUACAAUGCAAGUUUAUUAUUGUAUAAAUAAUUUCAAAACAGCUCAUAAACUGUAAAACAUAUAAACAAAGCCAACAUUAUUAAGAAAUGAUAUACAGGCUUCGUAAGUAGUUGGGUAAAUACUUUACAAAUGCGAGCCCUAAACGGAGCAAAGAUUAAUCUCCUCCUCCUGCUAUUACGGCGAUCGGUGAUAUAUUUAUAUCGUGAUUAUCACCCUUACCGACCGAGCAGAUAACAAUGCCUGGGUAAGAUAACGAUAUACUAUAAAGAAGCCGGUUUUCUCCAUUUGCAAAUCCUGAAAAAAUAUGCAGCCGUUUAGCCUAACCAGAAACGUAUUAAUCGAAGCAACCCUCCUAACCUAUCUAUGCCGAUGUAUAGAAAACGUUCAUAUUACGGUGUUUUGAUUCAUAGUAACACUUCGCAUUUGUAACGUAUUGAUCUACUUGGUUAAAAAUGUGACAUUGUUAUUGAUCGAGUGAGAAAUUAGUCUGUUAUUUCCCAUAUUAUUGGUAACCUAUGGACAUAUAUAUGGCCUGUACCUCGGCUGCCACUAACAGCUCUCUUGCUCAGGAUACGUUGAGCAUGCUAACUCUGUGAUUUAGAGCCAUCACCGGGCAAAUAUAUCUCAGGCUGGGUACCGGUGCCCACCGGCCAGGUACCGGCGCCCACCGGCCAGGUACCGGUACCCACCGACCAGGUACCAGUACCCACCGGCCAGGUAUCGGUACCCACCGACCAGGUACCAGUACCCACCGGCCAGGUACCGGUACCCACCGACCAGGUACCGGUACCCACCGACCAGGUACCAGUGCCCACUGGCCAGGUACCAGUACCCACCGACCAGGUACCAGUACCCACCGGCCAGGUACCAGUACCCACCGGCCAGGUACCAGUACCCAUCUUGCUACCAAAACAUUAACAACCACCAUCUGGCAACCUUCUCUAACUUUCCAUUGAUACUUCUGUUGUUUGGUUUCCGCCUUGCUUUUUUUUCUUGGUUUUUGUUUGCUUUAGUUUUUGUUAUCUCCCAUGUGCUGCACCGCUCUGUUUGCUUGUUGUUUUGAUUGUACUCUAGACGUGGACAUGGAGGGUAAAGCUUUGCGAGGUAGCUCUCAUAAACAUCAAAGCAUUUCUUGUUCUUAUUGAUCACGUGUGUUACUGUCACUCAGUAGUAACACCUGUCCAGUGUACGUGACACGUCAAGGAGCAGGAGAGAUCAUGGACGAACAUGUCUCUAGAAAAUAAUACAAAAAUAAUUAGGAAAAUUGGCAUUUUGCAAAUUAUUGAUAGCUUAAUACUGCAAUGUGUUCUUCAGAAGCUCUCGCGAGGAUUCCCUAGGGGCUUACGUCUCAGUAAGCCAACAUGAGCUCAUCACAUGCCAACAUAUAAUGGCAGAAACGCUUGUUUACCAACACGUCGUCAAGAUGCAGCAUCCAAGUCACCUGCCCUGAUCUCUCCUUGCACUUAGCAUCAUGUCUGGGUACAAAAGUGAGAUUCUCUCUUCGUUUAGAAUAUCAUUGGGAAACAAAACGUGUAUGUGGAAACAAAAAAGUUUAAUUUGUACAUAGGAUAUUUCACAUAGUUAGGAACUUAACCCAACUCACUUUAAACUUAUCAAGCCGUCUAUAAUGUGUGUCACGAUGCCAACCACUGGUUAAGAUUCAUUGUUUAUAUUAGGAAGGUAUAGGCUCAUAAGGUUGAAUCGCUCGCACCUCGAGCGAUACACAUAUCUGUAUGAUUAUUUAAUAUUGUAAAUAAACAUAUGUUCGUAA
This is a non-coding RNA of Procambarus clarkii (red swamp crayfish), 3911 nucleotides long. The record is from RefSeq and is a predicted model, not a curated record. Lineage: Eukaryota; Metazoa; Arthropoda; Malacostraca; Decapoda; Cambaridae.